This 492-nucleotide ribosomal RNA is filed under the name uncultured bacterium. RNAcentral's name for it is "partial 16S ribosomal RNA". It matches the Rfam family "Bacterial small subunit ribosomal RNA", at positions 29 to 507 of the family's 1533-position model. The record is from RNAcentral.
AGUGAACGCUGGCGGUAGGCCUAACACAUGCAAGUCGAACGGCAGCACAGUAAGAGCUUGCUCUUACGGGUGGCGAGUGGCGGACGGGUGAGGAAUACAUCGGAAUCUACUUUUUCGUGGGGGAUAACGUAGGGAAACUUACGCUAAUACCGCAUACGACCUACUGGUGAAAGCAGGGGAUCUUCGGACCUUGCGCGAUUGAAUGAGCCGAUGUCGGAUUAGCUAGUUGGCGGGGUAAAGGCCCACCAAGGCGACGAUCCGUAGCUGGUCUGAGAGGAUGAUCAGCCACACUGGAACUGAGAAACGGUCCAGACUCCUACGGGAGGCAGCAGUGGGGAAUAUUGGACAAUGGGCGCAAGCCUGAUCCAGCCAUACCGCGUGGGUGAAGAAGGCCUUAGGGUUGUAAAGCGAUUUUGUUGGGAAAGAAAAGCAGCAGGUUAAUACCCCGCUGUUAUGACGGUACCCAAAGAAUAAGCACCGGCUAACUUCGUG